GCGCGGGUGGUGGAAUGGCAGACACGUACGUUUGAGGUGCGUAUGCCGAAAGGAGUGAGAGUUCAAGUCUCUCCCCGCGCA
Molecule: transfer RNA, 81 nt
Filed under: Elusimicrobia bacterium RIFCSPLOWO2_12_FULL_59_9
Lineage: Bacteria; Pseudomonadati; Elusimicrobiota
Description: tRNA-Leu
Rfam family: tRNA
About the family: Transfer RNA (tRNA) molecules are approximately 80 nucleotides in length. Their secondary structure includes four short double-helical elements and three loops (D, anti-codon, and T loops).
Source: RNAcentral